Molecule: ribosomal RNA, 512 nt
Filed under: uncultured bacterium
Lineage: Bacteria
Description: partial 16S ribosomal RNA
Rfam family: Bacterial small subunit ribosomal RNA
Source: RNAcentral
GAUGAACGCUGGCGGCGUGCCUAAUACAUGCAAGUCGAACGAAACUUCUUUAUCACCGAGUGCUUGCACUCACCGAUAAAGAGUUGAGUGGCGAACGGGUGAGUAACACGUGGGCAACCUGCCCAAAAGAGGGGGAUAACACUUGGAAACAGGUGCUAAUACCGCAUAACCAUAGUUACCGCAUGGUAACUAUGUAAAAGGUGGCUAUACUACCGCUUUUGGAUGGGCCCGCGGCGCAUUAGCUAGUUGGUAGGGUAAAGGCUUACCAAGGCAAUGAUGCGUAGCCGAAUUGAGAGGUUGAUCGGCCACAUUGGGACUGAGACACGGCCCAACCUCCUACGGGAGGCAGCAGUAGGGAAUCUUCCACAAUGGGCGAAAGCCUGAUGGAGCAACGCCGCGUGGGUGAAGAAGGUCUUCGGAUCGUAAAACCCUGUUGUUAGAGAAGAAAGUGCGUGAGAGUAACUGUUCACGUUUCGACGGUAUCUAACCAGAAAGCCACUGCUAACUACGUG